CAAUGGGACCGUUCAGCCAUACAUCGAUCGAAGCAGAGACAACGUAAUACGAGCAGUGGCCAACGGCGGCCGCGGAGGAGCGGCGAGGAAUCGGAGCACGGAGGCGGCGCGGAACCUAGCCAGGACGCGGCGCUUGGAGAGGCUUGCCAGGGCAAGGCUGAACCAAGCUAGAGCUCGCGCCGACAUUCUAGAAGGUGAUUGACUACCUACUCCAUUAUACCACUACUCGUACUACGUUGUCUUUGCUUUGAUCGAUGUAUGGCUGAACGGUCUCAUUGCUA
Molecule: non-coding RNA, 281 nt
Organism: Brachypodium distachyon (stiff brome)
Lineage: Eukaryota; Viridiplantae; Streptophyta; Magnoliopsida; Poales; Poaceae
Source: RefSeq, marked provisional